Molecule: ribosomal RNA, 291 nt
Filed under: Acaulospora papillosa
Lineage: Eukaryota; Fungi; Glomeromycota; Glomeromycetes; Diversisporales; Acaulosporaceae
Description: partial large subunit ribosomal RNA
Source: RNAcentral
UUUAUGAUCACUCUAACAUCUAGACAAUCGAGUCCCAUCAACGUUAGCAAGCUAUCGAAGACGGGGUAACCAUCAGAAGCCAGGUGACUAGCCCAAAGGGUAUCCGCUGCAAUCCUCAAUCCCGGUCACCACAUUUAUCAAGGUCUAUAACACUUUUCCGAAGAAAAGCCACCUUUCCUCAAUUUUUAUAUGAUAACCGAAAUUGAUGCUAACCUGCAAGUGAGAAAGUGCACUAGAAAGGACACGAGUAAACCCGCAUACUAUCAAGUUGAUUCCCCACCAACAUGACUG